RNAcentral lists this ribosomal RNA (1998 nucleotides) under Clostridium sp. Its description in RNAcentral is "partial 23S ribosomal RNA". It matches the Rfam family "Bacterial large subunit ribosomal RNA", at positions 1 to 2007 of the family's 2925-position model. The record is from RNAcentral. Lineage: Bacteria; Bacillati; Bacillota; Clostridia; Eubacteriales; Clostridiaceae.
GGUUAAGUUAUUAAGGGCGCAUGGUGGAUGCCUUGGCACUAGGAGCCGAUGAAGGACGUGACUAACUGCGAUAAGCUUCGGGGAGUUGUAAGUAAACUGUGAUCCGGAGAUUUCCGAAUGGGGAAACCCAACAGGAGUAAAGACCUGUUAUCACUGAGUGAAUACAUAGCUCAGUUGAAGGUAGACGUGGGGAACUGAAACAUCUAAGUACCCAUAGGAAGAGAAAGAAAAUUCGAUUCCCUGAGUAGCGGCGAGCGAAAAGGGAACAGCCCAAACCAAGAAGCUUGCUUCUUGGGGUUGUAGGACUGGACAUUUGAGUUACCAAGAAACGAAGUAGUUGAAUGAUUUGGGAAGAUCAGCCAGAGAAGGUGAUAGCCCUGUAAGCGAAACUUCGUUUCCUCAGCCCAGUAUCCUGAGUACGGCGGAACACGUGAAACUCCGUCGGAAUCCGGGAGGACCAUCUCCCAAGGCUAAAUACUCCCUAGUGACCGAUAGUGAACCAGUACCGUGAGGGAAAGGUGAAAAGCACCCCGGGAGGGGAGUGAAAUAGUUCCUGAAACCAUGUGCCUACAAGUAGUCAGAGCCCGUUAAUGGGUGAUGGCGUGCCUUUUGUAGAAUGAACCGGCGAGUUACGUUAGCGUGCGAGGUUAAGGCGCAAAGGCCGGAGCCGUAGCGAAAGCGAGUCUGAAUAGGGCGAAUGAGUACGUUGACGUAGACCCGAAACCAGGUGACCUACCCAUGUCCAGGUUGAAGGUGCGGUAAGACGCACUGGAGGACCGAACCCGUGUAUGUUGAAAAAUGCUGGGAUGAGGUGUGGGUAGAGGUGAAAUUCCAAACGAACUUGGAGAUAGCUGGUUCUCUCCGAAAUAGCUUUAGGGCUAGCCUCGGAGUUAAGGAUCGUGGAGGUAGAGCACUGUUUGGACUAGGGGCCCGUCUUGGGUUACUGAAUUCAGAUAAACUCCGAAUGCCACAGAUCUAUAUCCGGGAGUCAGACUGCGAGUGAUAAGAUCCGUAGUCGAAAGGGAAACAGCCCAGACCACCGAUUAAGGUCCCUAAAUAUGUGUUAAGUGGAAAAGGAUGUGGAAUUGCACAGACAACUAGGAUGUUGGCUUAGAAGCAGCCACCAUUUAAAGAGUGCGUAAUAGCUCACUAGUCGAGUGAUCCUGCGCCGAAAAUGUAACGGGGCUAAACACAUUACCGAAAUCGUGGAUGCAACUAUGUUGCAUGGUAGGAGAGCGUUCUAAGGGCGAUGAAGCUAGACCGUAAGGACUGGUGGAGCGCUUAGAAGUGAGAAUGCCGGUAUGAGUAGCGAAAGAUCAGUGAGAAUCUGGUCCACCGUAUGACUAAGGUUUCCUGGGGAAGGCUCGUCCUCCCAGGGUUAGUCGGGACCUAAGCCGAGGCCGAGAGGCGUAGGCGAUGGAUAACAGGUUGAGAUUCCUGUACUGGUUUGAUUUGUUUGAACGAUGGAGGGACGCAGAAGGCUAGAGAUGCGUGCUGUUGGAUAUGCACGUCCAAGCAACGAGUCUGAUGAUGAGUCAAAUGCUUAUCGUCUUAAGGACAAGUUGUGACGGGGAGCGAAAUUAAAGUAGCGAAGUGAUCGAUGUCACACUGCCGAGAAAAGCUUCUAGUUAGAAUCAGACCACCCGUACCGCAAACCGACACAGGUAGUCGAGGCGAGUAGCCUAAGGUGAGCGAGAGAACUCUCGUUAAGGAACUCGGCAAAAUGACCCCGUAACUUCGGGAGAAGGGGUGCUGCACAAUGUGCAGCCGCAGUGAAUAGGCCCAGGCGACUGUUUAUCAAAAACACAGGUUUCUGCAAAAUCGUAAGAUGAAGUAUAGGGGCUGACGCCUGCCCGGUGCUGGAAGGUUAAGAGGAUGGGUUAGCGUAAGCGAAGCUCAGAAUUGAAGCCCCAGUAAACGGCGGCCGUAACUAUAACGGUCCUAAGGUAGCGAAAUUCCUUGUCGGGUAAGUUCCGACCCGCACGAAAGGCGUAACGA